AGGAUAAACGCUGGUGGCGUGCCUAACGACAUGCAAGUCGAACGUCCUUUCCCGCAAGGGAGAGGGAGUGGCGGACGGGUGAGGAACACGUGGAUAUCUACCUCCGGGUGGGGAAUACCGUCGGGAAACCGACGACAAGACCGCAUAGCCUUGGCAACAAGGAAAGCUUUGCCGUAAGGCAAGGCGCCGGGAGAUGAGUCUGCGUCCGAUUAGUUUGUCGGUGGGGUAAUGGCCUACCGAGGCGACGAUCGGUAGCUGGUCUGAGAGGACGAUCAGCCACACUGGGAUUGAGAACGGCCCAGACUCCUACGGGGGGCAGCAGUGAGGAAUUUUCCGCAAUGGACGAAAGUCUGACGGAGCAACGCCGCGUGCAGGAUGAAGGUCUUCGGAUCGUAAACUGCUUUUCUCAGGGACGAGCAAGGACGGUACCUGAGGAAGAAGCCCCGGCUAACUACGUGCCAGCAGCCGC
This 469-nucleotide ribosomal RNA is filed under the name uncultured bacterium. RNAcentral describes it as "SSU rRNA". It matches the Rfam family "Bacterial small subunit ribosomal RNA", at positions 26 to 518 of the family's 1533-position model. The record is from RNAcentral.